UUUAAAUGUUAAAUAAUUUACUAAAGUAGUAUUAGUUAUGAUCUUGAAAUUUAAAAAUUUUGGCGGUAUUUCAGUCUAUUUAGAGGAACCUGUUCUGUAAUUGAUAAUCCACGAUUAACUUUACUUAUUUUAUAAAUUUGUAUACCGUCGUUAUUAGAAAAUUUUAAUAGAAAAUAAAUUUUUAAUAUUUUAUAUUAAAAAAUAUAUCAGAUCAAGGUGCAGUAUAUAUUUAAGAAGAAAUGGGUUACAAUAAAAAUAUUUAUAUGAAUUUAAGUAAGAAUAAGCUUUUUGAAGGUGGAUUUAAUAGUAAUAAAAUUAAAUUAAAUUUUAUGAUUUUAGCUCUGAGAUAUGU
Molecule: ribosomal RNA, 352 nt
Filed under: Pterostichus ghilianii
Lineage: Eukaryota; Metazoa; Arthropoda; Insecta; Coleoptera; Carabidae
Description: partial 12S ribosomal RNA
Source: RNAcentral